Molecule: long non-coding RNA, 500 nt
Filed under: Lathyrus oleraceus (garden pea)
Lineage: Eukaryota; Viridiplantae; Streptophyta; Magnoliopsida; Fabales; Fabaceae
Description: Pisum sativum (pea) long non-coding RNA (PSAT_LNC008056)
Source: RNAcentral
UAUCUCAUAAUUCUUACUUAAAAUAUUAAAACUCAUUUUCUAUGCAAUUUCCAUUUGACAAAUCAGUUACCACACCACCAACGACCAAAACAUCAAACAAAAUUAAACCCCCAAAUAUAUUAUAUAGUUUUAUCUAAAAACCAGAAACAUAAUUAGUUUACCCACCUUCACACUUCAAAAGUCAGGAUCUCCCAUCAAAAGGGUCAGAAUCUUCUUAUCUUUGUAUCAUACCAAAGACUAUCUCCAUUACCAUGUGUAUAUAAUAUGAUUCUAAACUCGUAAUUAUCAUAAAUUCAUUAUACUAUAUCCUAUCAUUCAUUUAUCAUAAGCUUCAUAAUUGAUCUUCACCUGAAAAAAAACGUAACUAACUAAUCGUUAUGUUUCCGUUUUUCAGUUACUUUAACUUUUUCUUCUUCUUUGUCGCUCUCUUUAUUUGCCGCCCAUGCUUUACCGCGAGGAUUAUACCAGAAACCGUAACCGUAAUAACAACUUCUGAAAAA